RNAcentral lists this unclassified non-coding RNA (257 nucleotides) under Hevea brasiliensis (rubber tree). The record is from RNAcentral. Lineage: Eukaryota; Viridiplantae; Streptophyta; Magnoliopsida; Malpighiales; Euphorbiaceae.
GUAAAGCAGAGAUGAACAAGUAUAAACAAAGAAAUGGAUGGAAUAAGGAACAUACUUUUCAACACUGUGCCCAGCUAUAGCUGUUGAAUACACAAUAGGUGCCCAACUCAGAGAACGAACCUUCCGUCUAACAUCUUCCUCAUAAAAUAUAGUAGUUUCUUGGUUCUUGUUUGGGAUCGUAUCCCACUUGUUCACAACAAUGAGGCAACCCUUCCCUUCUCUCUCUAUCCUUUCUGCAAUUUUGCAAUCCUGUUCAG